RNAcentral lists this long non-coding RNA (471 nucleotides) under Ananas comosus (pineapple). RNAcentral's name for it is "long non-coding RNA (ACOM_LNC029691)". The record is from RNAcentral. Lineage: Eukaryota; Viridiplantae; Streptophyta; Magnoliopsida; Poales; Bromeliaceae.
GCCGUUGAUUUUGAGCCACUUCGAUCACUAGGCAAAUGAUAUCGAAAAAUCGCAAAAUUUAUUUUCUAGAUACUUCAAAUACUCUAGAUCAAGUCUAAUAGAGCCGAUCAUCGAUUCGAAAGUCCGAAUAUCGAAAACAACUUAGAAGCACGGAGCGCUUCGUGCUUCCAGAAGCAUACCAGACGCACUCACACACACACACACACACACACACACACACACAUAUAUAUAUAUAGUCCGGCCAGAAUACUAUCGAUAGCACCAAGCAUUUUGUGCUAUCAAGUUUUCCACCGUGAGAUUUAACCCUUUAACUAUUUUCACCCGUUAGAUUAUACUAUUAAACCAAUAACUCACUCAACCCUAAAGGGCCCACAUCAUCCUAACUAUACGAUUUUUAAUCCAAGAGUCGAAAACCUGAUAGCACUAAACGCUUGGUGCUAUUGAUAGUAUUCCAGCCUAGGUCUAUAUAUA